Alosa sapidissima (American shad) is the source of this 578-nucleotide long non-coding RNA. RefSeq lists it as uncharacterized. Lineage: Eukaryota; Metazoa; Chordata; Actinopteri; Clupeiformes; Clupeidae. The record is from RefSeq and is a predicted model, not a curated record. The transcript has 3 exons.
CUGUGCUGUGGCAGAGACUGUAGCGUGUGAGCUUUACAUGAGAGAGGUCAGGGGUUCAAGACUGAGUCGAUGGGUGUGAGGUAUGGGUAGGCCUGUCAUGGGAGGCGGAAAAAUGGCCAGCAGGAAGGUGUGCAGCAGCCACUGGAAUGACCUCUUCCACCUCCUCCACUAACAGCUCCUCAUCAGCCGGCAGUGGGAUGUGAUCCUGAAGGGCCAUGUUGCAGAAGCGCCGACACCAAAACUACACUGCACGCCUUUGCAGGAUGGAGCUUCAGGCCACCAGCGGAUUUGCUCAAACACCUUUCCACAUGCCCAGGGCCCUCUCCACAACAACGCGGGUCCGGCUAUGGGCGUUGUUGUACCGCGCCUCUGCCUCGCUGUUGGGCUCCUAGAUGGAGCAGUUGACAUGCUUGUAUUAUCAUAGGGGGUUGAUGGAAUAAAGUAGGUCUUGAAAUGUCAGUGCACUCAGGGAAUAUAGACAUGCAUUUGAAAACAACAGUAUAGACUUUGCUACUAUCUCAGCAGCAGAAGGCAACAACAUGAGCAGCACCUACAGUAACACUGUGUGUGUGUGUGUG